GAUGAACGCUAGCGGCAGGCCUAACACAUGCAAGUCGAGGGGUAGAAGGAGCUUGCUCCUUUGAGACCGGCGCACGGGUGCGUAACGCGUAUGCAAUCUACCUUGUACAGGGGAAUAGCCCAGAGAAAUUUGGAUUAAUGCCCCAUAGUAUAUAACCUUCGCAUGUUGGUUAUAUUAAAGUUCCAACGGUACAAGAUGAGCAUGCGUCCCAUUAGUUAGUUGGUAAGGUAACGGCUUACCAAGACGAUGAUGGGUAGGGGUCCUGAGAGGGAGAUCCCCCACACUGGUACUGAGACACGGACCAGACUCCUACGGGAGGCAGCAGUGAGGAAUAUUGGUCAAUGGUCGCAAGACUGAACCAGCCAUGCCGCGUGCAGGAAGACGGUCCUAUGGAUUGUAAACUGCUUUUAUACAGGAAGAAACCCUUCCACGUGUGGGAGCUUGACGGUACUGUAGGAAUAAGGAUCGGCUAACUCCGUG
RNAcentral lists this ribosomal RNA (480 nucleotides) under uncultured bacterium. Its description in RNAcentral is "partial 16S ribosomal RNA". It matches the Rfam family "Bacterial small subunit ribosomal RNA", at positions 28 to 507 of the family's 1533-position model. The record is from RNAcentral.